Molecule: ribosomal RNA, 637 nt
Filed under: uncultured bacterium
Lineage: Bacteria
Description: bacterial SSU rRNA
Rfam family: Bacterial small subunit ribosomal RNA
Source: RNAcentral
UAAAGAUUCAUCGCUGAUAGAUAGGCAUGCGUUCCAUUAGGCAGUUGGCGGGGUAACGGCCCACCAAACCGACGAUGGAUAGGGGUUCUGAGAGGAAGGUCCCCCACAUUGGUACUGAGACACGGACCAAACUCCUACGGGAGGCAGCAGUGAGGAAUAUUGGUCAAUGGGCGUAAGCCUGAACCAGCCAAGUCGCGUGAGGGAUGAAGGUUCUAUGGAUCGUAAACCUCUUUUAUAAGGGAAUAAAGUGUGGGACGUGUCCUAUUUUGUAUGUACCUUAUGAAUAAGGAUCGGCUAACUCCGUGCCAGCAGCCGCGGUAAUACGGAGGAUCCGAGCGUUAUCCGGAUUUAUUGGGUUUAAAGGGUGCGUAGGCGGCCUUUUAAGUCAGCGGUGAAAGUCUGUGGCUCAACCAUAGAAUUGCCGUUGAAACUGGGGGGCUUGAGUAUGUUUGAGGCAGGCGGAAUGCGUGGUGUAGCGGUGAAAUGCGUAGAUAUCACGCAGAACCCCGAUUGCGAAGGCAGCCUGCCAAGCCAUGACUGACGCUGAUGCACGAAAGCGUGGGGAUCAAACAGGAUUAGAUACCCUGGUAGUCCACGCAGUAAACGAUGAUCACUAGCUGUUUGCGAUACAGUGUAA